AGAGUGGGAUGACAAAGUCUGAGUCUUGCAUGUAGGGGUGGAAACAGGUAGAACAGAAACAAACGUAGGUCAGAAUAGCCUCCCUUUACAUCAUCCUCGACAGGCACUGCAAGAGUGGGAAGAGGCCAGGGCGCAUGCCCAUGCAAAGGUGGAGCAUGUCUGGGGGCUUAAUUGGGGAAUGAGAGUAGGUGGGACCUAAAAUCGACUUCUCUGGUAAUCAGGCUCUGACCCAAGAGGCAAGGGACAGAACCCUCUGCUGAGACACAAAAACACACGUUCAAGGCCUCAGAGUCUCUGCAGCAAGAGAGGAUGGACGUUAAAAUCCCAGCAACCUGGGUCCGAAUCCCAGCUCUGCCAACUAACACAACCUUGGGUAGAUGACUGAACUUCUCUAGGCCUCAGUUUCCUCAUCUGUACUUUGGGAUUGCUGUGAGAAAUGGAGAAUAUGGAUCUAAAGCACCUGCCAAAUAGUGGCUGUCAUUGGUAUCAUUGCAUUACAGGUUUAUUGUGCAAUGGGAGGCCUCUUGAGUUAAGGAUGGUAGGGGGUUCUGUCCCUGGAUAGCAAACAAUCAUUUUUUGUUUUUGUUUUCUUAUUAGGGCCACACUUAGGGCAUAUGGAAGUUCCCAGGCUAGGGGUGGAACUGGAGUUGUAGCUGAGGCCUACACCGAAGCCACAGCAACACCAGAUCCAAGCCACAUCUGCGACCUAUACCACAACUUGCAGCAGCACCAGAUCCUUAAGGCACUGAGUAAGGCCAGGAUCGAACCCGCAUCCUUAUGGACAUGAGUCAGGUUCUUAACCCACUGAGCCACAAUGGAAACUCCCAACAAGCAAUUAUUAAUCCUGCCAUGCUUUACAAGCUGGUUUUUGCAACCUCACACGGAGAUGGGAGUUUGGGAUGCUCUUAGCAAAGGCUAACUAAACCUUACCUCGCCCUCCAGUACAAAUUCCUGACUUUCAUUUAGAUUUAAUAGACUUGAGUUUAACAAGAUAGCUAUUAUAUUUUAAAUAAAUACUGACUGGCCACAAAUGCAACAUUCACUGCGAAUUAGCAAGGAGAGAGGCCGCCUCGUUUUCAUCUCUGGUCUAUCUCAAGUACGGCUUUGAAUAAUUAAUUUGCCAUUUUGAUAAUACACAAUGACCAGCCUAUUCAGCCAAGAAUCCUGCCUUUAUUAAAUGAGAACUCAGUGGCAAACAAACAAAACCUGAGUCAAUAGUUGCCUCGCCAGUUAUUAAAAGCUCCUUUCCCUGAGGGUUGCUGUGGGAGGCCGGGCAGAGGAACGGAGGAGGAACAAGCAGUGGGGAAGAUGAAGGAACAGACAGAAGGCUAUUGAAAGCCAGACCCCGCUCAGGUGGGAGGUGUCACUCAGACAGUCUGAGGUCAGCGCCAAAGAAACCACUUGGGUUCCCCACCAAUGCCGUACCACCCCUGAAGCAGCUAGCCGGAACAUUUGUGUUUUGUUUGGGGUUUCUGGAAGUUAUUUAUUGCCCAAAGAUGGGACUUGGAGGCAGGAAAGAUAUGCAGAAAGUGGUGAGUAUCCUAACGUUACAAGCUCUCACCGCAAGAAUAAUGGGGAAUUAAAGAAUACAGCCCUCUGUUACAGGGGACUCUGCAGGAGAGAUGUUAACAGUAUGGAUUUUGAAAAAGACACAAUUAGGAUGCUACUGAUUGCGUACAAAAGACCUCCAAAUCCAAAGAUUUAGACAAUAAGGAAAUGAAUUCUCACCCAGCAGGAAAUUCAGAAAUACACAAGGUUUGGAGUUCCCAUCGUGGCGCAGUGGUUCACGAAUCCGACUGGGAACCAUGAGGUUGCGGGUUCGGUCCCUGCCCUUGCUCAGUGGGUUAAGGAGCCGGCAUUGCUGUGAGCUGUGGUGUAGGGUCGCAGACGCGGCCCGGGUCCCGCGUUGCUGUGGCUCUAGCAUAGGCCGGUGGCUACAGCUCUGAUUAGCCCCCUAGCCUGGGAACCUCCAUAUGCCGCGGGAGUGGCCCAAGAAAUAGCAAAAAGACAAAAAAAAAAAAUAAAAAUAAAAAUAAAAUAGAGGUUUAUGUGCCCACAUAAAAGAAGCCCAGAGAUAAACAGUCAAAAGCCAGUAUGGCAGCUCCACAGUCAGCAUGGACCCCCACUUUCUGCAAUGCCAUCUUUAGCACAUGGCUUCCAUCCUCAAGUUUGCUUCAGGAUCACAUAAUGGCUACCCUAUUCUAGCCAUCAAGUCCACAUCCCAGGACCUAAGUAGGCUUUUAAAGUUCAGCCUAAACCUGAAAGCUUCUCUGAGGGAACUCAUUCAUUUGUCCAACCAUCUACCCAUCUACUGGAGCACUGACAGUUAGAUACCAAUAUCUAGGCCCCAUCCUCAGCCAAACAGUACUACUUUGCAGCUUUUAGCCAAGUCAGGUAACACCUCUGCGUAUUGGUCAGGAUUCUCCAGAGAAAAAGAACCACACACACACAUAUAAAUACAAUUAUUAUAGGAGUUGACUCACACAGUUAUGCAGGCUAAGAAAUCCCAUGAUCUGCCAUCAGCAAACUGGAGAACCAGGAAAGCCACUAGUGUAAUUCAGUCUGAGUCCAAAGACCUGUGAAUUAAGGAGGGCAAUAGUAUAAGUCAAUCUGAGUCCAGUGGUCCAAGAACUGGGAGCACCAAUGUCCAAGGGUAGACGAAGAAGGAUGCUCGAGCUCAAGCAAGCAAGCUGGCCCACCUACAUUGGCUGAGUGUGUUCUUUAUUCAGUCAACAGAUUCAAAUGCUAAUCUUCCAGAAGCAGCCUCACAGACACACCCAGAAAGAAUGUUUCACCAGCUAUGUGGGGCAUGCCUUAGCCCAGGGAGGGCAGCACAUAAAAUUAAGCAUCCAUCGUACUCCAGCUCAAGUCCCUCUCUCUUCCUGUCCAUCUCCACAGCUACCACCCAAGUUCAGACGGUUCCCAUCUUAACUCCUGGACCACUGGGAUAGCUUCUUUAUUUUUCCUUUAAUUUUAUGCAGCUUUAUUGAUGCACAAUUGGCAUAUGACAUUGUAAGUUUAAGAUGUACAACAAGCUGAUCUGAUGCAUGGAUCUACUGAGAAAUGAUUUCCACAGUAAGGUUUGUCACCAGUUAACACAUCCACCACCUCACAAAAUUACCUUUUUUAAUGUGUGUGUGGUAAGAACAUUUAGGAUCAAUUCUCUUAACAAAUUUCAAGUAGGUAUGUUGUGAGCCACAGGGGCGGGGGAGGGAGAGGGAUGGACUGGGAAUCUGGGGUUAGCAGAUGCAAACGACUGCCUUUGGAAUGGAUAAGCAAUGAGAUCCCGCUGCAUAGCGCUGGGCACUAUGUCUAGUCACUUGUGAUGGCACACGAUGGAGGAUAAUGUGAGAAAAAGAAUGUACCUGUGUGUGUGUGACUGGGUCACUUUUCUGUAUAGCAGGAAAUUGACAGAACACUGUAAACCAGCUAUUAUGGAAAAAAUAAAAAUCAUUACAAAAAUAAAUUAAACUAUAGUACUGUUAACUGAGGUCAUGAUGCUGCACAUUAGAUGUCCAGAACCUGUUCACCUUAUAAGUGGGAGUUUGAACCUUUCAACCCAUGUCUCUCGGGGCAACAUCUUAAUGGUCACCUACCUACUCUGCCUUCUGAUAAUCUGGUGCCAUAAAGCAUGAAGCAUUCAGGCUAAAGCAUUCCCUUGAUCAUUCCAAUCUGUUCAAAAACAUAUGCCGAGUAUAAGGAAUUUAAGCACACCAGAAACACAGAUUUAUUUUUUUUAUCUUUAAAGAAAAAGAGAAAGCUUUUUCUCUUCAAAUUUCCUUUCCCCAAGAUAACCCAUUGUUAACCGCUGUGUCCUCCCAGAUUCCUUGCUAGUUAUGCAUAUAUUUUAUACAUUUUUUCCCCUCACAAAGCACACUAUUGCUUUAUCAACGUUACUGCCCUGCAAGAGAAGGAAUGUCCCGAAACCGCAUAAAAAACCAUCCCUAACAUGGUACCUCAGGGCCACAUUCCCCCAAACUAAUGGAAAUUUAAAUUCAACUGCCUGCUAGGGGAGUAAUCUGAAGCCCACAAUUCCCAUUUUUGUCGCCGUUGUAUUUCUGUUGUUUCAUUCUCCACUGGUUUAAUUAGUGCAUGGUAUUGUCUAAAGCUAGGUCAUUUUUUAUUCCGGUUACAACCAGAGGCAGUUAGCAUGAAAUUCAUAACAUUUUUAAUUCCAAUAGAACUAUUUCAUCUAAUGGUCCUGUCCCAGCAACUUCAGAGGUUAGAAUAGCCAGUGUCUGAAGCUGAAGAGAGAAGAAAAGCUUUUCCUGGGUGUCUUAGAAAGAACACCCUUUGGCGGGGCUCUCACAGCUGAGUGUGCACUCCUCGAAGGUCACGGGACCUUGGUCUCCCAACCACGCCCCAAAGAGCAGACUCAAAGCCUUGGCGUAAAGUUAAGUUAUUACAGCGCUGGCUUUGGGAACAAUACUAUAUCUUAACGCCCAAUUUGUUGUGGUUAAGACUGAGACUACCAACAGUUCUGUGACUGGUCCCAGAGUGGCCAGGGAUGAGUGACAGAGCUAACUGGGUCUUGGGCCCUUCUGAGCCAGCUUUCCAACAUGAAGGAGGCAUGAGAACUAGGUAACUUGGAGACACAUCAACCCCAGUUUGAAUCUGGCUCUACCACUUAGGAGCUGUGCCAAACUGAGCAACAUACUUAAGCUGUCUGACCAUUGGUUUCCUCGUCUGUGAAGGGGGCCAUAAAACCCACCCAAGGAGUUCCCGCUGUGGCACAGUGGGUUAAGAAUCUGAUUGCAGUGGCUCCGGAUGCUGUGGCGGUGCAGGUUCCAUCCCAGCCUGGCAUAGUGAGUUAAAAGAAUCCAGCACUGCUGCAGCCUGUGACCUUCAGCGAUUCAGUGGCCUAGGAACUUCCAUAUGCUGCAGGUGCAGCCAUUAAAAAACGAACAAACAAAAAAACAACACCUGAAAGGGUUAAUGGCCUGGCUGGUGGCAAGAUUUGGUAAAUAGUAUCAUUCUCAGUCGAUCCCUGUUGUUAGAGAUGAGGCUUCAAAUAAGUAGUUUCUAACGCUCUCCCCCAGCAACACCCUCAGACAAGAAAAAAAAUCACAAGGAAGGGGUGGGUGGCCAAAGAGAAGAUUUAUUGACACUGGGAAGGAUGCUUAUGGGGCUGACAGGAGGAGAGAGAGCCAAGCCUGGUUUCUGUGGUGCUGAUGUUGCCAGGAGGCAGUAGGAGGACACAAAAGCAUCCCCUGGCCCCUCCUGGACUGGCCGUGUUCCCUGCUUCUCACUUCUUCCUCAACCUCUCAGGGCCCAUGGCUGGGCUCCUCUUUCCUGGGAAACACAGAUGGUCAGCACAGAAAAUGCAGCCCGGAUCUGAGCUUG
This 5343-nucleotide long non-coding RNA is filed under the name Sus scrofa (pig). RNAcentral's name for it is "lncRNA (ENSSSCG00000060910.1)". The record is from RNAcentral. Lineage: Eukaryota; Metazoa; Chordata; Mammalia; Artiodactyla; Suidae.